RNAcentral lists this ribosomal RNA (624 nucleotides) under uncultured Gloeotinia. Its description in RNAcentral is "eukaryotic LSU rRNA". The stretch from base 210 to 363 matches the Rfam family "5.8S ribosomal RNA". Lineage: Eukaryota; Fungi; Ascomycota; Leotiomycetes; Helotiales. The record is from RNAcentral.
CUUGGUCAUUUAAGGAAGUAAAAGUCGUAACAAGGUCUCCGUUGGUGAACCAGCGGAAGGAUCAUUAUCGAGUUAUUCAACUCCCAAACCCUAUGUGAACUUACCACUUGUUGCUUCGGCGCGCGCUUCGGCGCCGCCGAGGACACUUAAACUCUUUGUUUUUAUAAGCAUUUCUGAGUGGCCGAAAGGCAAAAAUACAAAUGAAUCAGAACUUUCACCAACGGAUCUCUUGGUUCUGGCAUCGAUGAAAAACGCAGCGAAAUGCGAUAAGUAAUGUGAAUUGCAGAAUUCAGUGAAUCAUCGAAUCUUUGAACGCACAUUGCGCCCGCCCGCAUUCUGGCGGGCAUGCCUGUUCGAGAGUCAUUUCAACCCUCUAGGCCUACUCUUUUGAGGACGGCUCCGCGUUGGGGGACGUGCAAACUCCCCCCCGAAUCUCACGGUUCACGCAGGUUUGGAAUAGUUAUAAGCCCGUGACGACGUUCCCUAAUGAUCCUUCCGUGUGCUCACCUACGAAAACUUUGAUACGACUCUCACUUCCUCUACAUGAUUAUUAAUCUUCAACUCGCAUCCAGGCGGACUACCCGCUGAACUUCGCAUAUCACGUCGUGAGGAGAUCAUCCUGGC